This 7885-nucleotide long non-coding RNA is filed under the name Triticum aestivum (bread wheat). Its description in RNAcentral is "long non-coding RNA (TAES_LNC008778)". Lineage: Eukaryota; Viridiplantae; Streptophyta; Magnoliopsida; Poales; Poaceae. The record is from RNAcentral.
CCGACCAGAGCGACAGCUAUUCCGACAGCCGCGACAACUACGCGCAGGCCGAGCCGUCCACCUACACCAACGCGCCGCUCGUCGGCGCCCUCGCCUUCUUCGCGGGGGCACGCUCAGCAUAACCUAAGUGGCGUAAACGAAAUGUGUAUGCGAUGGUUGAACUUGAACUGUGUAUGUAAGAGUUUUCUUUUCAAGCUUGCUAAAACUCAGUCGACUGCAUAGCCAUUAGACCUUUGCAUGGAGAUUUAUGCUGGACUGAGCACCAUCCAAUGGACCAUGCAUCAUUUUGUCACACCAUGUGCAACAUUUCUUUCUACUGGUUGCAGCAUCCGUCUCAUUGGACACAACAUUUACCCUCAUUGAUUGCAGCACAUCGUCUCACUCGUUGGAACAUUCGCCAUUGAUGGUUGCAUCAUUAGUCACAACGGUUGUAGCAUCUGAGUUGCCAUUGCUUGCAACAUUUUUUGUAUCCUAUUGCAACAUCUAGUUGUGCCACUCGUCACACCACAACUACGCAGAUGUAACUCGACCGAGACUUCGUUAAGUUGGGGGAGACUAGUAAUCUUACAUUAGAUGAGAAUCAAUGAGAUCAACCACAAAAAUCAUAUUUAUACAUUCCAAAAAUUCUGAAAUUAUUUGACAACAUAUCUGUGGGGUGUACAACUCCGAGAAAAAUCAGCACAAAACUCAUGUACAGUUAGAGAAAGGACAAAUUUGAAUGUGAAUAGUGCAAGCUUUGGGUGAAUAGUAUAUUUGACACUACACAUUCAAUUUCGUCUUUUUUUUGUUUCAGUUAAUGUAGAUUGAAUUAGGAGCAGAAACUUUUUUACAUCAAACAUUGAUGUGCGUCUAUAAUUUUUCUAGAAUGUUUGAACAUGUUUCGUAUUUAAAAAAGUGAUCUCACCAAAUAUGAGAUCCUACAGUAGUCUUCCCUCAUUAAAUCUCAGUCGAGUGAAUUCUACACACACUCUUUUUCGAUAAGUGCAUGCAUAGGAUCUUCAAAAGGAAGAAUUACUCAGAAACUGAUUAGUAAUGAUGUCCUUUCUUAUGAAAGAGAUCUUUACCCCCCAAAAAGUAUCUAUAUACGUGUCUCAUGGUGUAUAUUGUGUGGAUAAUAAAUUUGAGUGGUUGUGGACAUCACCAACUACCUGAUUAGUGAUAGCCACCUUGGUUUGUAAAAGCUUAUGCUCUGUUUGGAUAUAUUUGGUUCGGAUGAUAAAUUUGAGUGGUUGUGGACAUCACCAACUACCUGGUUGGUGAUAACCACUUUGGUUUGUAAAAACUUACUGUGUUUGUAUGUUGAUAUUCACGGCCAUGUAAUUGGAUUGGCUCCAAGAUCAAAUCAAUUCUAAAGCAUGUUGGAUGAUCAUUAUCUAUAUUGGAUUUGCUCAUUUGUCAUAGGAUGAAUAUCGUACUUUGAUGUAAUGUUUUAAAUUAAAUUACAUGCAAGACGUGUAUUCACGGCAGUAAGAACCUCGUCAGUUAAGUCGUCUCCUAAGAUGUGCCAAAACCUCUUGAAGAAAAUUGCAUGAAGUCCAUUCGGACCGGGAGCCUUCAUAUCACCUAUUUGGAAUAGAGCUUUACGGACCUCCUCUCUAGUGUACUCCGCAAGAAGCAUAUUAUUCAUAUCAUCGGUAACAAGACUUUUCACAGAAUGCAACAAAGAGGGAUCAAUAACAUCCAGAUUGGAAGUAAAUAAAUUACUAAAAUAAUCAACAAUUAACGGCUUCAACUCAUCAUUGCCUUCUGCCCAUCCGUUGCCAUCCCUUUUCAGUUUUUUUGUUAAAUUCCGCCGUCUCUUGGCCGAGGCAAAUUGAUGAAAAUACGCAGUAUUUCGGUCUCCUCGUCGCAGCCAACUGACUUUACCCCUUUGAGCCCAAUAAAUCUCAUCUUGUUCAAGCGAAUUUUCAAUGAAUAAUGCGAGUUCCUUCUGUUUCAUACACACGUCUGCAGUGGGCAUACUUCUCAUCAAAACAUCUAGCUCAUACUGGGCCUUGCGCAACCUGGACCGAGGCUCCUUCAAAACCCUCCUGUCCCAUAAGUGCAACUCUUGAUGUACAAUAGCUAGCUUCUCACCCGUCCUUGGGGAAUGGCCGAGCAGUGAAGCCUUUUGCCAGGCGGUUUUAACAAUCUCUUCUACAGUAUCUUCGGCCAGCCAACGAGCUUCAAAUUUCCUCCCAUAUGUUGGUUAAUUUUCUGCAACUCCCAUGAGAUGAUUUGUAUCCAAUAAAAUUGGUCUAUGGUCAGACUUACCCAACUCCAGAUUGCACAAACCAGCGAAUGGAUGGAGCAGCAUCCAACUCGCAUUAGUUACAGCUCUAUCAAGCCUCUCCCUAAGCCCCCCACGGAACCAGGUAUACUUAUCUCCUUCAUAGCCCAUGUCCUCCAAUGAGCAAUUAGACAAGGCAUCCUGAAAUGCUUGCAUGCGUGAUUGUUGUCUCGGGGCUCCCCCAUCCUUUUCUGACGAGAUUAAUAUCUUGUUAAAAUCGCCUAUAACAGCCCACGGCAGGCUAGACUGGUCAUGAAGAUCCCUGAUCAGCUGAAAAGUACGGGCCUUAAGAUCCCAACUAGGUUCUCCGUAGAUGCCCGUUAAUCUCCAUACCUCCCCGUUCUCUUCCUCCACUGUAACAUCAAUGAAAUCAAGGGUAGUUGCACGGAAGUAGAUCCUAACCUCUUUCUUCCAGACAAGCAGCAAACCGCCCUUUCUCUCAUCCUGGCUCGGCACUACAAUCAUCUUAUCCAUCCGAAGUCUCUUCAUCAAGUUUUCUGCCUUAUCCUCAUCCAGAGCGUCCCCAACAGAAGAAACACAUCUGGUUCAUGGCGUCUCUGGAUGUCUAGAAGCGAACGGGUUGUCGGGGUACCAAGAACACCUCGGCAAUUCCAACUGAUGAGCUUCAUUGUACCUGAUCAUGAACCCCCUCACAGCAAUAGACCUGGCCUAGGGCAGAUCACAAACCUCACAAAUUAGCACCAAAAAUCUGCAGCUCGUACUUCAGUAACCGAAGAUGGAGAAGCAGCAAACGAAUCUACUCCUAGAUUCUUGGUGGAAGACCAUCAAGAAAACAUGCAGUAGAGACAGAGAACCAGCCACGGCAACACACGGUCACCAUGCUGGGACAAAACCGCUGGCAUAGCGCCGUCGCCGGGGAGGCGGCCGGCGUUGGCUAGCAAAACCCUAGUCGCCUGGGCGUCCGCCUCUCUCCAAGAAAAAAAGGAUUCGUGUCCUGAGGAUGCUGCGCUUUCCCUAGCUAAGCGAUCCAAAACUAACUGGAUCGAUAAGUUGUUUUUAGUGAAAGCUGGAUCGAUUAGGAUAUGUGACUAGUACGUUUUUUCUUUUAAGUGGAGCUGUACGUGACGUGACUAAUGGAGGUGGAUCAGUAAGUCGUGUGUGGGGGUUUUUUUUUUUAGGGGUGCUAACACUUUAUUGAUCUAUGGUAGCAUUAAAAGGUAUACAUGCCGGGCCAUAAGGAGAUAAAAGCCACAGAUGGCGACCCCGAUCAAGCAAAAGAGAGUGUUUAGCAAGAUUGUGAGCAUUGCUAUUUGAAGCUCUGCUUUCAAAAAUAAAGCUACAGCUAUUAAAAACGGGACUCCUUUGAUAGAUUUCUCUGAUGACCGAUAAGUAAGCUCCGCCAGUCCCUCCUUUAAUAUCCUCUACCACCUGUUUGCAAUCGCAAGCCACCACAAAGUUUUGGAGAGAUAAGUCUUCGGCCAAAGCUAGCGCCUCACGACAGGCAAUGGCUUCCAAAACUGCCGGGUCUGAAACUCCCGGAAUAACCAGCGAUGAUGAUCCCAAGUACAGACACUGUUGGUCUCUGCAUACUGCUGCAACUGCUCCUACACCACGGUCCUGCGCAAUCCCACCAUCUACCAUUAUUUUCAUAUGACCCAGCGGUGGUGGUCGCCAAGAAGAACGAGAGCCAACUGCUCUCUUAGCUUGCAGCUUCGGCCCCGCUGUGUUCGCCAAAACGUCAAUGCUUUGGAGUUCUGAAAUGAAAUGUCGGACGAAGAUAUGUGUCGCUAAAGGACUUUGGAAGAUCUCCUCAUGUAUUGCUUUUGUUCUCGCAGUCCAAAUCGCCCACAAAGUGAUUGCCAUUUCGAUGAACUGAGCAUGUGAUAAAGAACUUUGUAGUUGGAAUAACCAGUGUUUAGCACUUGGUUCCACUGUCUCGGCCAUUGUUUCCACAAUCUUUUCAUCGGCUAGAGCCCAAACACAUCGUGCCAUCGAACACUCUACCAAGGAGUGUCUCCAUGAAUCAAAAUUACCGCAUAACUGACAGUUAUCCACAAUACUCAUAUGUCUAUGUUUCCUCACAUCUUCAGUUGGCAAAGAUUGCCUUCCCAGUCUCCACAUGAAUGUUCUGAUCUUUGAAGGGACCUUGGUAUUCCACAAUGAGGCCCAGCCCCUCUCAUCUGAACUUUGAUCCGAAACUGUCGCUCUGCCGCCUAAUAAAUUUUCUCCUCUCUUCUUUGUCUCCCAUCGCAUUUUGUAGUCGUGCGUGGGUGCGCACGCAGGCGGCGGGCGUACUGCUGUGUUGGGCCGCAGACGCUUGGCUGAAACGGGCCGACCCUGAUGCAUCAUUCCUGGGCCACCCUGAUGCAUUGGGCUUUUCUAUUUAGAUAGGUACUACUAGCCAAUUUUUGGACUCGUAUUCCUGUGCAUGUGGGUAGGCCCAAUGGGCUCCGCCCAUGCUUCAAGGUGCCGGGCUCCGACGAGGAAGAGUAGGGCAUGGGAGACGGCUGCCGGUGAGUCCCGUGAGCCAAUCCGUGUCCUAUGUCCUACUCUACCUUGCCAGUGAUCGAACCAACAUUCUGAGAGGCGCAGCUGGCCACCGGAAAUGGACACUGUGGAGUCGGAUGAGCUUCACCUAUAUUAGGUUUAAGGUUGCAUGUAAUAGUAUGGAUUUGAGAUCUUUAAAUUGAAAUAUUCAAUUUUGAAAAAGAUUAUUUCAGGGUCGGAUUCGUUGUACCCUGCUUUUGAUGCUUUAAUUCUAAAGUCCCCUAAAGACAUGAAAGCACAACUUUCUCCUCUAGUCCCGCGGCAUGUACAAUGGUGCUAUUUUAGGAGUGCCAUUUAGGAUAAAUAAUGAGGUGGAGGAGAGAGAACUCAUAAGAAAAGACUUCUCUUCUCUUAUUUAAGAGAAGACAUGAGAUUAUCUCUUAGCAUAAUAUGUCUCAUCACGUUUAAAAAAAAGCUAGUUAUUGAAGAUAAGGCUAAGAGAUGACCCAUUGUAAACAAUUUUAUUUAUUAUCUCUAAAUUACAUAUAAAAUUUAAUAUAAAACCGUUUUAUCAACCAUUGAUACAUGCCCUAAUUAGCGACGGCCGCACGCAGAAAGCUACCACUCCUCCUAGUUAACAGGAGCAAAUUAAGCAGAGCGCAGUUCUGACCACUACGUACGGAUCGGAUAUACAUCAAGCUGCGUCUGUAUCUUCGGCGAACAUUAAAAAGGAAGGGGAUAAUGCGCCAGGAAAUCAAGGCGAACAUUAAUACAUUAAUAGUACGUAUUAAAAAAUACGUAGCGUGCUCGAUCGUGUUCGUCUACGACAUGAAUCCCAACUGCAACUGCCGCCACCUUUCAUGGAGCCGAAUCAACUGAUCGACCACUAUAUAUAGUCCUACCGUGCUAGUAUGUAGCUCACCACCAACACACAUCCUGAUCGCAAUGGCAUCCCCCAAAGCUUGCAUGUCCACUUACCUGAUCGCCGUCCUCUGCCUGGUCACCGGUGCGCACAGCGCCAAGGCGUUCAACUACGUGGACGCCCUCGACAAGGCGGUCCUCUUCUUCGAGGCGCAGCGCUCCGGGAAGCUGCCGCCGGGCCAACGCGUGGCGUGGCGCGCCGACUCCGCCCUCUCCGACGGCAACGCCUCCAAUGUACGUACUUACUCACAUGUUUAGCAUUAUUGCAUGCCAUGCCAUGCAUGUCGUUAACGAGAGUAUAUCCAUUGAGGUGUGCCUUGUUGGCAUUGUUCAGGUGGACCUCGUCGGAGGCUACUACGACGCCGGGGACAACGUCAAGUUCGGCCUGCCCAUGGCGUUCACGGUGACCAUGCUGUCGUGGAGCGUGGUCGAGUUCGGCGGCGAGAUGCCGCCCGGCCAGCUCGCCAACGCCGAGGCGGCGGUGCGUUGGGGCUCCGACUACCUGCUCAAGGCGGCGACGGCGACGCCGGGCGCGCUGUGGGUGCAGGUGGCGGACCCGUACCAGGACCACCGGUGCUGGGAGAGGCCGGAGGACAUGGACACGCCGCGGGCCGCGUACAAGGUGACGCCCCAGAACCCUGGGUCGGACGUGGCGGGCGAGACCGCGGCGGCGCUGGCCGCGGCCUCCCUGGUGUUCCGGGCCCGCGACCCGGCCUACUCGUCCAAGCUGCUCCGCGCCGCUCGGCAGGUGUUUGAUUUCGCGGACCGAUACAGGGGCUCCUACAUCGACUCGCUCAGCUCCGUGGUGUGUCCCUUCUACUGCUCCUACUCCGGCUACAAGGUAAACAACCCACAACUGCACGCCAACACAACAUGCAUGCAUGCAUGUUGUGUUGGAAUAACCAUGCUGCUGAGUCGGAAUAACCAUAACAUAAUCCAUGAAUGCAUGCAGGACGAGCUCCUUUGGGCGGCGACGUGGCUGCACCUGGCGUCGUCGCCGUCGCCGAGCUCGCAGAGCGUGUACAUGACCUACAUCAACUCCAACGGGCACACGCUCGGCGGGGAGCAAGACGCGUACACCGUCAGCUGGGACGACAAGCGCGCCGCCACCAAAGUCCUCCUCUCCAAGGUAUUUCUGCAGAACCGGGUGGAGAGCCUGCGCCCGUACAAGGCGCACGCCGACAAGUACAUCUGCUCCCUCGUCCCCGGCGCCGGCGGCUUCCAGUCCCAGUACACACCAGGAGGCCUCCUGUUCACGGAACGCGACAGCAACAUGGAGUACGUGACCUCCACGGCCUUCCUGCUCCUCACCUACGCCAAGUACCUCAGCUCCACCGGCGGCGCCGUCUCCUGCGGCUCCACCGCCGUCACCCCCUCCACCCUCGUCUCGCUCGCCAAGAAGCAGGUACGUACAUUUGCAUGGCCCCUAGACGAAAUAUUAAGAUUGCCUUGGCAGAGGGAGGCUCAUCGGUCAUUUUGGCGCGCGCGCAGGUGGACUACAUCCUGGGCGCGAACCCGGCGGGGAUGUCGUACAUGGUGGGGUUCGGGGCGCGGUACCCGAGGCGCGUGCACCACCGGGGCGCCUCCAUGCCGUCAGUGCACGACCACCCGGCCCGCAUCGGCUGCGACGAGGGGUUCCACUACCUGCACUCGUCCGACCCGGACCGCAACGUGCUCGUCGGCGCCGUCGUCGGCGGCCCCGACCAGAGCGACAGCUACUCCGACAGCCGCGACAACUACGCGCAGGCUGAGCCGUCCACCUACACCAACGCGCCGCUAGUCGGCGCCCUCGCCUUCUUCACGGGGGCACGCUAGCUAGGCAUAUAGCCCAAGUGGCGUAAACGAAAUGUGUGUGUGUGCGAUGGUAGAACUUGAACUGUGAAUGUACCGAAUUUUUCUUGGGCUUGCUAAAACUCAGUCUGAGAUUUUAGUCUAAGUCUCAGUCUGUAGAACUUAAUACCUAUAAACAUAUAAGAAGUACAAUUUGAUACAUUGGCUGAAAGAGCCAUACAACUAGUGGACACACUCGAGUUUACAUCAACUGUUAUAGCUAAAUGCGCAUGUGUUACAAUGGAGACAGGUUUAUUCUAGUGGUUCAAUGUAGGAAAAUAUUAAGUGUGUGUUGAGACUGAGAUAUGCUAUGAAGAAGGAAUCCGCAGAGCAAAUUUAAGGAAAGAUAUGAUGUGAUUGAGAUUAUGUACAUACAACUACAUGAGAUUUUGUUAUUUGCUUCCAAGGGAAUUUUUG